Molecule: long non-coding RNA, 6179 nt
Organism: Ctenopharyngodon idella (grass carp)
Lineage: Eukaryota; Metazoa; Chordata; Actinopteri; Cypriniformes; Xenocyprididae
Exons: 3
Source: RefSeq, a predicted model, not a curated record
CCUGUAGUUAGUUUCAGUUGAUGAUGAUGACCCUGUAGUCAGUUUUAGUUGACAAUAAUGACCCUGUAGUCAGUUUUAGUUGACGAUGAUGACCCUGUAGUUAUUUUAGUUGAGGAUGAUGACCCUGUAGUUAGUUUUAGUUGACAAUAAUGACCCUGUAGUUAGUUUUAGUUGAGGAUGAUGACCCUGUAGUCAGUUUUAGUUGACAAUAAUGACCCUGUAGUUAAUUUUAGUUGACAAUAAUGACCCUGUAGUUAGUUUUAGUUGAGGAUAAUAACCCUGUAGUCAGUUUUAGUUGACAAUAAUGACCCUGUAGUUAGUUUUAGUUGAUGAUGAUGACCCUGUAGUUAGUUUUAGUUGACGAUGAUGACCCUGUAGUUAGUUUUAGUUGACAAUAAUGACCCUGUAGUUAGUUUUAGUUGACAAUACUGACCCUGUAGUUAGUUUUAGUUGAGGAUAUUAACCCUGUAGUUAGUUUUAGUUGUUAAUGAUGACCCUGUAGUUAGUUUUAGUUGACAGUAAUGACCCUGUAGUUAGUUUUAGUUGAGGAUAUUAACCCUGUAGUCAGUUUUAGUUGACGAUGAUGACCCUGUAGUUAGUUUUAGUUGACAAUAAUGACCCUGUAGUCAGUUUUAGUUGACAAUAAUGACCCUGUAGUUAGUUUUAGUUGACAAUAAUGACCCUGUAGUCAGUUUUAGUUGACGAUGAUGACCCUGUAGUUAGUUUUAGUUGACAAUAAUGACCCUGUAGUCAGUUUUAGUUGACAAUAAUGACCCUGUAGUUAGUUUUAGUUGACAAUAAUGACCCUGUAGUUAGUUUUAGUUGAGGAUGAUGACCCUGUAGUCAGUUUUAGUUGACAAUAAUGACCCUGUAGUUAGUUUUAGUUGACAAUAAUGACCCUGUAGUUAGUUUUAGUUGACGAUGAUGACCCUGUAGUUAGUUUUAGUUGACAAUAAUGACCCUGUAGUCAGUUUUAGUUGACGAUAAUGACCCUGUAGUUAGUUUUAGUUGACAAUAAUGACCCUGUAGUUAGUUUUAGUUGAGGAUGAUGACCCUGUAGUCAGUUUUAGUUGACAAUAAUGACCCUGUAGUUAGUUUUAGUUGACAAUAAUGACCCUGUAGUUAGUUUUAGUUGACGAUGAUGACCCUGUAGUCAGUUUUAGUUGACAAUAAUGACCCUGUAGUUAGUUUUAGUUGAGGAUGAUGACCCUGUAGUUAGUUUUAGUUGACAAUAAUGACCCUGUAGUUAGUUUUAGUUGAGGAUGAUGACCCUGUAGUCAGUUUUAGUUGACAAUAAUGACCCUGUAGUUAAUUUUAGUUGACAAUAAUGACCCUGUAGUUAGUUUUAGUUGAGGAUAAUAACCCUGUAGUCAGUUUUAGUUGACAAUAAUGACCCUGUAGUUAGUUUUAGUUGAUGAUGAUGACCCUGUAGUUAGUUUUAGUUGACGAUGAUGACCCUGUAGUUAGUUUUAGUUGACAAUAAUGACCCUGUAGUUAGUUUUAGUUGACAAUACUGACCCUGUAGUUAGUUUUAGUUGAGGAUAUUAACCCUGUAGUUAGUUUUAGUUGUUAAUGAUGACCCUGUAGUUAGUUUUAGUUGACAGUAAUGACCCUGUAGUUAGUUUUAGUUGACAAUAAUGACCCUGUAGUUAGUUUUAGUUGAGGAUAUUAACCCUGUAGUUAGUUUUAGUUGACAAUAAUGACCCUGUAGUCAGUUUUAGUUGACAAUAAUGACCCUGUAGUUAGUUUUAGUUGAUGAUUGAUGACCUGUAGUUAGUCUUAGUUGACAAUAAUGACCCUAUAGUUAGUUUUAGUUGAUGAUUGAUGACCUGUAUUUAGUUUUAGUUGACAAUAAUGACCCUGUAGUCAGUUUUAGUUGACAAUAAUGACCCUGUAGUUAGUUUUAGUUGAUGAUUGAUGACCUGUAGUUAGUCUUAGUUGACAAUAAUGACCCUAUAGUUAGUUUUAGUUGAUGAUUGAUGACCUGUAUUUAGUUUUAGUUGACAAUAAUGACCCUGUAGUCAGUUUUAGUUGACAAUAAUGACCCUGUAGUUAGUUUUAGUUGAUGAUUGAUGACCUGUAGUUAGUUUUAGUUGACAAUAAUGACCCUGUAGUUAGUUUUAGUUGACAGUAAUGACCCUGUAGUUAGUUUUAGUUGACAAUAAUGACCCUGUAGUUAGUUUUAGUUGACGAUGAGGACCCUGUAGUUAGUUUUAGUUGAUGAUGAUGACCCUGUAGUUAGUUUUAGUUGACAAUAAUGACCCUGUAGUUAGUUUUAGUUGAGGAUAUUAACCCUGUAGUUAGUUUUAGUUGUUAAUGAUGACCCUGUAGUUAGUUUUAGUUGACAAUAAUGACCCUGUAGUUAGUUUUAGUUGAGGAUAAUAACCCUGUAGUUAGUUUAGUUGAUGAUGAUGACCCUGUAGUUAGUUUUAGUUGAUGAUGAUGACCCUGUAGUUAGUUUUAGUUGACAAUAAUGACCCUGUAGUUAGUUUUAGUUGAGGAUGAUGACUCUGUAGUUAGUUUUAGUUGGAGAUGAUGACCCUGUAGUUAGUUUUAGUUGACAAUAAUGACCCUGUAGUUAGUUUUAGUUGAGGAUGAUGACCCUGUAGUCAGUUUUAGUUGAUGAUGAUGACCCUGUAGUUAGUUUUAGUUGAUGAUGAUGACCCUGUAGUUAGUUUUAGUUGAGGAUGAUGACCCUGUAGUUAGUUUUAGUUGAGGAUAAUAACCCUGUAGUUAGUUUUAGUUGAGGAUAAUAACCCUGUAGUUAGUUUUAGUUGAUGAUGAUGACCCUGACUCGCAGUGGGUCGAAGUGGAAGUUUCCAGGCGUGUCUCAUGAACUCGGAUUGGCUGCAGGGAAUCGUCUCAAUUGUCCUUCUCCCCACCCUGAGGCCCUGGAGGGGUGAAACCAGGGCUUGGGGUGAUAUUUUAAGAUGGACGACUUGUAUUUUUAGGGCAGCUGUACGCUGCGGUGUUCACAUUUCAGGUCGGCUAUAAAAACAAACAAAAAGCCGAGUUGCUGUAGGAGGACAGCUGGAGCGGACAAACAGAGAAACUCACCCUAACCCAAACCCCUGCUCUCAGAUUAGUUUAUUUUUAGCGUGAGCAUGGUCCGGUGUGGCUCUCGUGUCUGUAUGUGACAGGACUGAAGUGUAAUUAAAUCAGUGCACCAUCUGUGUGUGUGAUAAACAAAACAGGCUUCAGCUUAUUUUAAUAGAAGAUGAGAAAAGCCGCUGCGUCCAGAUGCCUGCCAGUCCUCAUGUGCAUGCAAACCCUCUGUGACCUGAGCUAAACACACUGUGAGAAGGAUGCACUCAUUUAUUAAAACAUAAAAGUGCUGCAUCAGUGAGUGUUGUGCUGCGCUCACAGUCAGACGAGGCUCGUCAAUGACGUACAGGGAAACGAGACGGCAAUGCAAAUCUCUAGUGUUUGUUUUACAGGUGUACUAUUAUCAACAGAGAUCAUUUAUUGUGUUUUACACACCCGUGUCUGUAAAUGUUCACUGAACUGGUUUUCUUAUCACAUUAUGUGUGAACUUUGACUCAUUGAUGCAUUUUAUUAGGUUACAGUAAGCGUAAAAUCAAAAACAACUCUGGCGCUUGAUAUAUAUUUGAGCAAAAAUAAUGUUUACCAGGGUUAUUAUAGUAAACUAAAACUAAAACCUUAAAAAACAUUGGAAGAGAUCUCUUCUGCUCACCAAGGCUGCAUUUAUUUGAUCAAAAAUACUGUAAGAACAGUGAAAUAUUAUUAAAAUUUUAAAUUUAUUAUUAUAAUCUGGGAAGUUUUGCACUGAAAGAGCCAAACUCAUCUGGACACGGCAGUGUCAAAAGGCCAUUGGCUGAAACUAGACAUGCUGCAUUGAACAUGUGCAACUUUAGGCCGCGGUGAGAGUGAGGUGCGAUUGCAUCAUCAUCAUCAUCAUCAUCAGAGGCUUGUCUCCUGCCCUCGGGCGUGUAAACAGGAAAUGUGAACAGGCUCAUGAUGAAUGUGAGGAGAGAGAGGAGAAGAAGACGCAAGUGCCUUUCAUCAUUUCAGUAUUUCCUGAGGCGAGCCGGAGGGGUAAGAAAACAGAAAAGAGGGAAGGCAGGGAGAGAGAGAGGAGACUUGGGUAAACGCAGUUAAACUGGUGCUGUUUUCCAAGGCUUUCAUUCCAGUCCUGCUCAGAAAACAUGGCCUCGGGCGCGUGCCAAAAUAUUCAUGUGCCUUUCGUCCCGAAACAAAGACUUCAAAGUUGUGGAGCGCAGAACGUGAGGAGUGAAGCGCUCAGCAAAAACAAUCCCGUCACUUCAACGCUAACUAUCACACACAUACAGAGUUAUUUUGGGAUAAAAGGUGAAAAAUUGGUAAAAUUUGUAAACAUAGUUUCUCGUACUGUAGAAUAAACAUUAAUUGCGAUUGCUAGCAGUUGCAUUAGAAAAGUUUAAAUCUUGUAAAAGAUUUAACUGCACUGACUCUAUCAGAUGAGAACAAAACCUGAACUGAAAUAAUAUUGUAAUAUUACAAUAAUAUUUAUUUACAAUAAUAAAAUGUAUUUUUUCUUUAAAAUAAAAUUGUAAUAGUAAUAAAAAAAAAAUAUAUAUAUAAAUAUAUAUAGUAAAAUUAGAAACAUUCUGCCGUUUCACAGUCUCGGCUCAUCCCAUCAGGAAAGCUCCAGCAGAACACACUGAUUAUGCAGCUUCGAAGCCCCAUGACAAGAGAAAAGGACGUUGUUUCCCGAUGAUGACUAUUCAUGGAUGCGUAAUUAUUGGAUGCUGAUAUAAUUUAAAGGCAGUUCAAAGGGUGUAAUUGGUAUUCUCGGAUGCAGCUCGACAUGAUCAAUGCCUGUCUCUUCUCAAAGGCUUUAAUCAGAUCCAGUGCGGAGCAUCAAUCCCAGGCCAUCUGCAGCCGAGCGCCGAGCCAAGAGUCUCCUGUGGAUGAGCCGGGCUGGCAGAAACACACAGGAACUGAGGAGAGCCGCGAGCAGUUUCACAGCUGACAGCACUGGAGAAUCCGAGCAGAAACGGGGAGCAGGUGUCGAUGACCCAGGUGCCGGACGCUGUGAUUGGACCAGAGGAUUUCUGGGAGAGAAGUGUUGUUUACUGACCGUGAAGCGCUCUGGAGCCGAUCUGAGGGCCGGGAGCCUUUAUAAAGACCUAAGGCCAAAACAAGAGCUCUGACUCCAAACCCUGUCAUGAUGAAGACCUCCACCACACUCCAGCUUCCACUACGUGUUCCUCCUUGAAAACACAUCGGAUGACAUCAGGCAGCUCCGGGUUCCUGGAAAAUCCAGCCUCUGCUGCCAUAAAGGCUUUUGGCCGGACGUUCCUGGGCAGCAGCUCAACUCCUGCUGUGUUUUAUUCCAGUCGUAACACUGGAUUUCUUCAGUUGCGUCUCCUAGAGAGACUCCCGUUCUCCAGACCUUCAGAAACAGCUGCAGCUCUGGGCAAAAAUAAUGAAGCUUUCUGUGUCUGAAGGGAAGCGUCUGUAGAAACCACACGCUCCAUCUUCACUGAGGAUGAGUUUAGAUGAGCUUCUGCUCAUUCAGGACAAUAUUUUGUGUUGAAAGGAUGGGGGAAAAUAAGUAAAAGAAAAUUUAGUCUACAUUUACUAUAUAUAAUAUAUAUAUAUAUAUAUAUAUAUAUAUAUAUAUAGAAUGUGUAUAUAUGAAUUGCUUUUUUUUAAUCCUUUUUUGGAGCUUGGUUGUAUAAAUCACCAUCCACAUUUAUCCAAACAUUAUUUUAUAUUGUUUUGUUUUUUUUUUCAUUAUUUUUUUUUAAAUCUCUUUUUGAGUUUCACAGAAGUGGUUUGGAGUGAAUGAUCAUUUUUGGAUGAACUGUCCCUUUAAAUAACGCUUCAGACUCAAAGCUGAAGAUAAUUACAUCAGCCUAUUAGACACGUGACUGAUUCAGGUAACUAUAAUCGCGCUGAUUCUGCAAACACGAGUCAUAAUGGAUCUCUCCUGCAGUCAGCAGAUAUAUGAGGAACACACGAACGAAUAAAGACUCCAAAAGAGAGGAAAAAUACAGAGCGAAGCGAUUAAGGACACGAUCUGAUCGUUCUGAGGAACCGCGAGCAGCGGGAACAGCAGGUGUUCUGAUUGGUGGAGGAGGAGUGGGCGGAGACUACUACAGCAAUCAACCAAUGAGAGAGUGAGCAACUGCACAACACGCCUUUCAAUCCCGAGCAAUAAAAACACAAACGAG